Molecule: ribosomal RNA, 500 nt
Filed under: uncultured bacterium
Lineage: Bacteria
Description: partial 16S ribosomal RNA
Rfam family: Bacterial small subunit ribosomal RNA
Source: RNAcentral
AUUGAACGCUGGCGGCAUGCCUUACACGUGCAAGUCGAACGGUAACGGGUCCUUCGGGAUGCCGACGAGUGGCGAACGGGUGAGUAAUAUAUCGGAACGUGCCCAGUAGUGGGGGAUAACUGCUCGAAAGAGCAGCUAAUACCGCAUACGACCUGACGGUGAAAGGGGGGGAUCGCAAGACCUCUCGCUAUUUGAGCGGCCGAUAUCAGAUUAGCUAGUUGGUGGGGUAAAGGCCUACCAAGGCAACGAUCUGUAGUUGGUCUGAGAGGACGACCAGCCACACUGGGACUGAGACACGGCCCAGACUCCUACGGGAGGCAGCAGUGGGGAAUUUUGGACAAUGGGCGCAAGCCUGAUCCAGCAAUGCCGCGUGCAGGAAGAAGGCCUUCGGGUUGUAAACUGCUUUUGUCAGGGAAGAAAUCUUCUGGGCUAAUACCCCGGGGGGAUGACGGUACCUGAAGAAUAAGCACCGGCUAACUACGUGCCAGCCGCCGCCGUAA